UUUGUGGAGGAGCUGGGUGUGAGGGAGCUGCUCCUUCGUGUGCAUUCAUGGGAAAAUUUAGGGGAGGCAAAAUUAGAGAUCUCUUUUUGUAAAUGUAGCUUGUUAUUUUCUGUCUAUUCAAGGUUUUUCUGAGGGGACUCUCACCACGGUAUCUAGUGCAUAUUUUGGUUGUCAGGUCCGAAACACAUUCUGACUCAAGCCAGACUUACUUCCCCUUCAUCUUGUUCUCCUCAUCAUUUUACUGCACUUCUGCCCAGGUCACUAGUGCUAUUACAUAUGCUCAUCUCUCAACCAUUCAGAAAAGAACCAGUGCUUGGCACCCAGUGACAAAAGGGAGCAAGUCUUGUAGUGUUAUAUGCCCAAAAGCAGGAUUCUGCUAUUGACAACACUGAGAGAGAUCUCUGGCUUAAAAAAGUGGAUCUUAGCUUGUAUGGGUCCCUUUUUGACAUGGGUGUUUUCUCGGUCUCUUCUGGAAGAUUCCCAAGGUACUUGAUUUAUCUACUUUGGAAGGAUGAAACCUGAAUUGACUUGCUUGCUGGGACCCAAGCCCAUAAUUUCAAAAGGCCUAGGUAUGAUAAAAUUAAAGCUCAGAUCACUAGGCCAUACUCUUUGAAUAAUCUUAACUAAGGUCCUGGAAGCACUUAGACCACAAUUCUGCAAUAAUCUCUGUCUAGGCAGACACCUGACUUAACAAGGUGCUUGGGGUGGGUGCAGGAGUCCACCUCAGUACUGUCAAUCUCAGGUGUUUAAAAAUCAGAAGUUGGAUCCCAAAAAAAUCAUGACAUUGGCUUGAAAAAUCACAAGAUUUUUAAAACACACAUUUGAAGUUCUGUUUAUUUGCCUUCUGGCUUUGAACCUUUCAGGCUUCUUUCUGCAACAAUGAAGGCCAAAAAUCCAAUUCACAUGACUCCAGUAUCUAGGAAUUUAGGAAAAACAUCAAAUGUUAAGAGAUUUGCAAUUAAAAUCAUGUGAGUUGGCACUGCUUCCACAGAGCUCAUUGCAGGAUGAUGGUUUUAUAUGCAGCCUAGUGUGUCAACAGAACUAUUAAGUAGUAAACGGUAUACUCUAGUAUUUACAGGAUCACACUCAUAAGAUGUUUGCCAAUAGAGGGAAAAGUAAAAUGUACUACCAAUUUAAAUUUAUAACAAGUAACUCACAGUGUACUUUAUUAUUUCUUCACAAUAUUAUCUAGACAGACAUAGAAAGUUUAAUGGCAACAUGUAACAGUUUAAACACAAAGAACAAUGUAAUCAUGUUAAACAAUAAUAAACUGGCAAACUACUUUACCUUACAUACAUCAUCCAAGAUAAUGCAUAAACAAUAUCUGUUUAUAUACAAUGAUGCUGGUGAUAUUUAAAUGUCAAAUAUUCAAAAGAAAAAGAAAAAAUGCUAUUUAAAUAAUAAAAAAUAUACAGGAUUUUUUGUGUGUGAUGGGCAUUCUUAAUCCUCUAUAACUUGGUUGUAAAGACUUCACUCCAGGAGGAAUCUGCAUUAACUUUUAGCACUGGCGCACAUUUUAAAAACCAAUUUAGAUUAAACUGAUUCCUUGUCUGCUAUUGCUUAGUUUUGUUUUAAAGAUAUAUAGGAAUACAAAAUAAAACUGAAUUUUUCUGGUUUCAGAGGAUAUUUACACAAAAUCCAAAAAAAUUUAAUUUAUCAUACAUGGUAUUAGGAGUCAUUAACAAAUAAUGUGAAUGAAUCCAUAUGCUAUCUUGUUUAAAAAAAAAUUAGAAAUCCAGGCUCUUUGCACAUGUAACUUCAUCACACUUUUCAUCAACAUUUAAAAAAAGAUUUUUUGAUAUGAAAUUAGUGCAGAUGUAUCGCCAACCGCAUCACCAUGCAGAACUCCCACUGAGGUGAAUGGGAGGUUUGUGUAUGCAAGGACAAGAAGUUUUGGGCCCAUAACCUGCACUUUGUAUCAUCCCAUAUUGACUUUCACACGCAAAAGUCUGUUUCCAAAGGAAUUAUUUCAGUCUCUAGCUGUGUGCUUUAUUAAAGCAUCCCAUGAUUUUACAUAUCACAACAGGAAACUCAGAAAAUAUAUUAAUUGUAAUUAUGGGUUGAUGCACAAACAUGUAGAUGGUUAUGAUUGAAAUCUACUACUUGGACCAUUGUGGCCAAGCUUCUGCAUCAUACAAGACUGUGUGUAUGAACCCCACUCUAAUCACCUUUCAGCCCUCACGAUCCCACUUCUCUCUGUAACUUCAAUUACCACAACAGACGUGUUAUUCCAUUGUCAGAGCCAAUGUCUGAACUACGAAGAACUAUCCUCUGUCUCUCGUCUAAUACUUAGUUUUAGGCUCCUUCCCCUUGUUUUAGAACUCUUAUUUACUCUGUACAUACAACUCUUUGUUUUCAGUUUUUAUUUUACUUAAUUUUCCCUGGGAAUUUAUCAAUGUUUAUAAACACAACCGGAAAAUCAGUGCAAAAAACCUAUUAGUUUUUCUGGGUAAAUAUUGGGGUUUAUUUUGGUGGAUGGAAAGAUGGGGUAAGGGGGAAAAGUAUUCAGUAGAUUAAUACUUUUUGUAAAGUACAGGAAAUUUUCAGUAAAAAUCAGUUAAAACUGAAAACAAAGGGGCUUAGCGGCACAUUGUGGAACUAUAACAAAUCUUAGAUGAUUUUAUGAAGUUUUCCUUUGUUUAAAAAAACAAGACUUUUUCUUUAUUAUUUUAUUGAAAAACAAAGCCCAAAAGAAUUAAAGGACAAAAAAAAAUUGUGAUACAAUAAAAUCAAAUAUCUGAUCUGGUUUGUAGAUGAUUGCUGCUAGAAUUAACAAGGCUUUACUUAAAUACUUUGGGGGGAAUUUUUGUAACCUUUUGCUCUGUUUAUCUUCACUGCCUAAAAUGCUUUUUCUUUUCAUCUAGAUGAAAGGUGGCCAAAUUUCUCAGACACUUUUAUCCUCAGUCAUAGAGAUAUUUCAAUGAUGUAUCUCCUCUCAACAUCUCUUAACACCUCUUCCCAUGUUGUCCCUUGGUUCUCCACAGCCAAGAAACUUUAGAAGUGCAAGUAUUUAUAUUUUUAGUUUCUUUUUAUAGAUUGCCACCAGGACUGAUCAUGGUGAGAGAAGAAGUGAUUUUUAACCGAAAUGUAAUUUUGGGGCGUGACUGUAAGGCCUUGCAUUUUGUAGGGAAAUUUCUGUUGCAUACGGUAACAAAGAAAAUGGAAGGGACAGGAAUCACUGUGAAAGCAAGAGGGUUGGGGGGAGCUUUUUUAAACACGUUCAAGCUUUUAUAUACAUUCAACGUUUCUAGUAUGGUGAUUAAUAAUAAAUGCAUCAUCUACUAUCCUUACAGCUAAUGCAGUCAUAAUAUUGUACAAUUCUGCAGUCAGAAUUAGAAAGCUCCAUUAUCUGUUUAAUAAAAUAACCACUAACAGUUGCCUGGACUUUUUUAACUUAUUAACUAAUAUGCUGGGAAUCCCAGUGAAUAGAUACAACAGAACACAAAUUGGCGGCAUCUACCUAAUCAUCUCUGUAAUGUGACUACUUCGUAUUACUUCUAAAGCAGCUUUGAAAAAUCUUGCCACUGGAGGAUAGUCCAAAACAAACUCUCUCCAAAUUAUCUUGGUAGUAUAGCAGCACAUGAAUUUAUAAUUACUCUUUUUAUAUUUUUUGAUCAUGUAAACCGUCAACAAUUCAACCUUGGAAAAAGUUCAAGGUCAAAUCAUUCAUUAUCUUUAAUGGGGGUUAAUGGGCACAAACUGAAAUGAAGACUAGAUUGUGAAAUGUGGAUUGAAAUGUUAAUACAGUGCCAAUUCUAGUUCAUCUUUUUACCUGGCUUUCCAUAAAUUAAACCUGCUAGAUGGAAAAACCAAGCCUGCAUUCAAUUCCUAAUAUGUGGUUCCCUAUUAUUUUAAAAUAUUUUUCAUAAGUGCCUUGCACAAAUGUAUACAGUUUUGACAUUUCAGGUGUUUUUACUCGGCAGAGUUUAAAAACAGAUCACAUUUGCUUUAGAAACUGAGUGCCAUUAAAUGUUUCUGUAAAAUUAAACCCAUUUAAAUUUAAAAUCCAACGCUUGCUCCAUCUUUGCCCAUAGAAAGUGUAGGUGCCAUGGACUAAAUAGCAAUAAAAAUGCUGAGAUGCACAAAUCUAAAAAAAGCAGCUUUGAAGAAAUCCCAUCAAUUACAGCCUUAACAAUGAACAUAUCACAUUCCUAAAUUACUGCAGCUAUCUUGCAUAUAAUGCCACAAAGUUAGAUUAUUGAAAUGUCAAGGUUGACUCUGCAGUUUUUCCAUUGUAUUGCUUUCACUCUGAAAGUACUUGUAUGUUAUUCCUGUCCUUUUAUCCAGAGCUUUCUAACUUGUCCCUGGAUGUACACUUAGCCAUAAAUUUCAUAUUUUGACAGUUUCAUUGU
Long non-coding RNA from Dermochelys coriacea (leatherback sea turtle), 4352 nucleotides. RefSeq lists it as uncharacterized. The record is from RefSeq and is a predicted model, not a curated record. The transcript is spliced from 2 exons. Lineage: Eukaryota; Metazoa; Chordata; Testudines; Dermochelyidae.